This 245-nucleotide ribosomal RNA is filed under the name uncultured bacterium. RNAcentral describes it as "partial 16S ribosomal RNA". It matches the Rfam family "Bacterial small subunit ribosomal RNA", at positions 524 to 768 of the family's 1533-position model. The record is from RNAcentral.
UACAGAGGUCUCAAGCGUUGUUCGGAUUCAUUGGGCGUAAAGGGUGCGUAGGCGGCGCGGUAGGUCGGGUGUGAAAUCUCGGAGCUUAACUCCGAAACUGCAUUCGAUACUGCCGUGCUUGAGGACUGGAGAGGAGACUGGAAUUUACGGUGUAGCGGUGAAAUGCGUAGAUAUCGUAAGGAAGACCAGUGGCGAAGGCGGGUCUCUGGACAGUUCCUGACACUGAGACACGAAAGCGUGGGUAG